Molecule: long non-coding RNA, 222 nt
Filed under: Elaeis guineensis (African oil palm)
Lineage: Eukaryota; Viridiplantae; Streptophyta; Magnoliopsida; Arecales; Arecaceae
Description: long non-coding RNA (EGUI_LNC008030)
Source: RNAcentral
UCGAUGGAUGAAAGAAAACUGAUGCCUUUACCUUUGUAGAAGGAGAAAAGAAUUUGAAGAUGAGGAAAGCUUGAUGAAGAAGAAAGAAGAUAUAGAUGGUCUCUUUGAAGUAAAUUUCAGUGCAAGGGUAAAAUAAUAAUUUUAAAAUUUUUUUAAAAUUAUAAUUUUACAGUGAAAAUUAUUAAUUAAUCUAAUUAAUUAACAUGUAUUAACCCUACACAA